This 72-nucleotide transfer RNA is filed under the name Bos taurus (domestic cattle). It matches the Rfam family "tRNA". From Rfam's summary of the family: Transfer RNA (tRNA) molecules are approximately 80 nucleotides in length. Their secondary structure includes four short double-helical elements and three loops (D, anti-codon, and T loops). Lineage: Eukaryota; Metazoa; Chordata; Mammalia; Artiodactyla; Bovidae. The record is from Rfam by way of RNAcentral. RNAcentral also lists the same sequence under 1 other name.
UCCCUGGUGGCUCAGAUGGUAAAGAGCCUGCCUACAACGCAGAAGACCCAGGUUCAAUCCCUGAGUUGGGAA